Molecule: ribosomal RNA, 253 nt
Filed under: uncultured bacterium
Lineage: Bacteria
Description: partial 16S ribosomal RNA
Rfam family: Bacterial small subunit ribosomal RNA
Source: RNAcentral
UACGGAGGGUCCGAGCGUUAUCCGGAAUUAUUGGGUUUAAAGGGUCCGUAGGCGGGCGAUUAAGUCAGUGGUGAAAGUCUGCAGCUCAACUGUAGAAUUGCCUUUGAUACUGAUCGUCUUGAGUCAUGGUGAAGUUGGCGGAAUAUGUAGUGUAGCGGUGAAAUGCAUAGAUAUUACAUAGAACACCGAUUGCGAAGGCAGCUGACUAACCAUGUACUGACGCUGAUGGACGAAAGCGUGGGGAGCGAACAGG